Molecule: long non-coding RNA, 5839 nt
Filed under: Sus scrofa (pig)
Lineage: Eukaryota; Metazoa; Chordata; Mammalia; Artiodactyla; Suidae
Description: lncRNA (ENSSSCG00000060849.1)
Source: RNAcentral
UGGUGUAGGCCAGCAGCUGCAGCUCCAACUGGACCCCUAGCCGGAGAACCUCUAUACGCCAUGGGUGCGGCCCUAAAAAAAAAAGACAAAAAAAUUUUUUUCAUGUUGCUUCUUGUCCCUUUUAUUUAUAGAAUUUUCACUUGGUUCAUUUUUAUAAUGUCCAUUUCUCUGCCUAUAUUCCCUAUCCAUUCAUUAUGAGCAUUUUUUGUCUUUAACUAUAUUGAACAUAUUUUUAUGGGUUCUUUAAAGCCCUUAUAUAUUAUUAAUGCCACAUCUGGAUCAUUUUAGGAUAUGUUUCCAUUGGCAUGUAAUUGGAGCCUUGGGAGAAGAAAGGUCAGAAAAACAAAUUUAGGAAAUAUUUUGGUUAAUAUUUUGUCUUUCAAUAUUUGAAAGGCAUAUUAAUAUUGAAAUCUAAAAUUAUAGUACUAAGUUCUGGGUAUUAUAACAUAUAAUACCCAGAUAUAAUACAUAUAGUAUAAUCUAUAUUAUAACCAUAGUACCCAGGAUGGGGCAAGGAUAAAUGUAACCAUAGCAAUGCAUGGUUCUUAUACUUUAUAUAAAGCUGUAUUAUAUUAAUUCUAAGUGGACUCUAAUUAUUUAAAGCUGCCUGCCAUAACCUUAUGACAAUCACUGAAAAAAAUGUGGUGAACUAUAGCUAAAAAGCCAGAAUUAAAGUAUAAUAAUAAUAAGUAUUUUAUAACCCAAAAUAAUGCAGGAAAAAUAAAGAAAGGAACUAAAAUAUACAAGGUUAUAUAGAAAAUUUUAAAAAGAAAAAUGGUAGACUUAAAGCCAGCCAUAUUGGUAAUUACUUUAUACUCUAAUUUCUCAAUUCUUUGACUGGUUAAAUGCUGAAUAAAGCAUUUUAAAAUUUAUUUGUAGUUUUCUUUAAAUCUCAGGUAGUCUGUGUAUUUUUUCUUUAUAAAAUAUGAUGCUAUGAUAUUUACCCUUAAUGGAGUCAAUUCAAUUUUAUCUUCUUCUGGAUUGUACUUUUGAUUGUAACUCAUUUUUCUGAUGAAACUUCUUUUUAAUCUCAGAUGUGUCAUUUUGAAAAACAUUUUGUUGCAUUAUAUUUUUAAAUUUAAUAUUUUAAAUUGGAUAAUAUAAUCAUAUUAUUAUUAUUUAUAUAAUAGGCAGUGUUGUUUUCAUUUACCUUUGCCAUUUUAUAAUCCUCCUUUGUUUUAAAGUGAUUUGCAAUGUUUUAUUUAACUUUAAUCUGUUUUUAUGUAACUUGUGUUUCCUCCAUUUCACUCACUUAGAAGGUAUGUUGCAUGUGUGUUUUGACUAGUUUAGGUUACUUACAAACCUAUAAAUCAUGUGCAAUAAAAACAUAUUUUUAUGUGAUCUGCUUAAUAGGGACUUCCUUUUUUGAAAGAAGAAUAUAAUACAUGUUUGUGAAUUCCUUAUUCAGGUAACAAAAUAAUUAAUGACUAUGAUAAAUGUUUUCAUUUAUUGAGUACACACUUAAAUGUGGUAGAUUCUAUGCUGAAAUGUUGGUAAAACUUGAGUUUUUUAAUUUUUUUAAGUACCCCAUUAGAUGUGUAUUAGAAGAUUAUAAAGCUGACACAUAUGUAUAUAGUUUUUUAUGUGUGCCUAAAUAGUGGGGAUACUCAUAUUGCCUUCUUCAAAUUUCUCUUUUAAGUAGAUUAUGUAUUCAUGUAGAUAAAACCACCGGGAAAAAUUUAGAACAAAAUGCUGCAGGAAAACAACAACGAUGGCAGUCAUUGUGGUAACUGGUUGAGGCAGUAUUUGAACCUAGAUAUAUCUUAUCUGCAGAACUGUUCACUUAACCAUUAUACCCUGAUUAUGUCCCCACUCUAGCUUCACUUUGUUGACAUAACCUUAAAUUUUAAUCUCAUGGUCACAUGGUACAUUUGUAUAAUUAUAUUCAGUUGUAAUAUCUGUACAAAUACAUUACAUUACGUAAGUAAAAUUAUCAAAUUUAUUCCAUCAUAGCACUCUGUUUUGCAACACUAGAUACAGUAUGAUCAACAAUUAAUCACAUAUCACCUCUCGCUCCAUGAUACCACAUUCACAUCAUUUUUAUUUUAUCUUUUUUUUGUUGGAAGUAUUAUAUUCUCAAGAAUUGUUCAAGAAGCAUUCUAGAAAAAUAUAGUCCCUUAGUCUUGACAUUAUUAGCCUUUCUUUGCAUUUCUUCAUAAUUGUCUUAAUUAGUCAUAUCAAUAUCUUAAAAGGGGAAAAGGAAAUCAAUAAUCUUCUAUAACCAUGCUAAGUCUAGCUUCAAUCUCAGUGGAAUCCAGGAGUCCAGGAUCUAAAGAUAGAGCUGACUUUUCUUAUUUCUGUAUUUCUUGGCUUUGAUUAAUUCUGCAGUCCAUUUUUUUCUUUAGCCGAUUGGCAAAAAAGAACAUUUUAAUUUCUGAAUUCAAUUAUCUGCUUUGCAAUUUUAGUAAAAUGUGAGCUUCUCUUCCCUUUUCUAUAUUUAAGUCUUACUUGAGUCACUAAGAUGUUCACUGACCCAAUAGGAACUUUGGGUAGUUGGGUCAUUUCCCCAGUGGAAGUAGGGCACCCCAUGAUUAUCAUCUGGUCCAGUACUUCAUGGUCUAGAUGAAAAUGUCCCCUAAGAAAAAGGGAAAGGGAGUUAGUUGCAAACAUGGCCAGGCAACUCUAAAGUAUAGGUACCAUCACCCACCACUAGUGUUCAAGUGCUCUAAUGUAAGCCUUUAUGACCAUAUAUGUCAUGUUAAUAAUUACCACAAGCUUACAUUCUCAAAAAACCCUACAUACCACCUGAUGUAUAUAUACCACCUGAUAUAUAUAGCUUGAUGGACAACAGCACUGGAAUAAGUUUGCUGGUCAAUUAAUCUAGUUGUUCUGUUUUGCUUUGGUAGAAGAGUUCAGUUUUCUAGGGAGCUUAGAAGCUAUAUGAUAGCAGUGGUUAGAGAAUUCCUUUUUUUGUGAGCUAUUAUAACUUAAAAAUUCCUUUACCAGCACUUCAGGGGAUUGAUGUUUUUGUUGAUUAGGCUUUAGGUUUCUAAUUCAUAUAUUCAAUUCUCUUGAAGCACCAAGCUGACAGGCAGCUCAGUUGAGGAAACUUCUUGGGAUAUGAAUCAUUAUCAGACACCAUUACUUAUCACAGUAUUUAAAUCAUGAUUCUACCUGUAGAGAAAAAAUGGUUCUUUCUGUCUUGACCUCAGGUUGUCAAAGUGAGUAAUAAAGCAUCACUUAUUUCCUGAGGCAAUAACCUCCUAAAGGGACUCUUUAAGGGCCAGUGGGGUACACCUUCCACUCAGGAAAUAAGUGUAUAUCUGGAGGUAUUGGUAAAGAUUUCUCAUCUCACUCUGGCUUGGAGAGAUUAUGGCUAUUGCAAAUUUUCUAGUAUCAUGAUCUUUUGACCUUCAGGUUUCUUAUAUUUUUCACACAAAAAGGACUUCUCCACAAAACUUCAUGUUGUUCCCUGCUUUUAACUGGGCAACUUGAGAUGGCAAUUAUUUCUUUGUAGCAACACCAUCAUGACCCGCUACAGCACCCUAAAUAUUAUCACAUAUUUUUGGUAGCAACCCAAAGACUUCAUGCCAUGAAUAUCCAAAAGGCUAUGUUAAUGCACUGCUUUGAUAUAAUAUCAAAAUAAUUGCCAUUUUUAUAUUGGAAAGCCCAAUGAGAUAAACACAGAAUAUAAUGAUAUGAUAGAACUUCCUCAGAGAAAGUAAGGAAAUGAAGACUAUAAUGUAUGUUAGACACAAAAAUUAUUGUUGUUUUUUUCUUUUAAUUCUUUUCCACUGAAAAGAUGGUCCCAACUCCAUCCUACCUGUUUAUCCUCCACCUCAGUGAGGUUCUUUUCAGGCUUUUGUAGAAUUGUAUAAAAUUAAGAUCUCUUAACACUUGUAAAAUAAUCAGAAAGAACAAACUUGUAAAAGAAACUAUGUCUAAGAUGUAGAAAUACAGCAUUAGUCUGUACUACAAAUGGAAAGGUUUAAUUCACAUAAAUGAAAAUAAUACCAGAUGAAGGAAAAAAGUGGGGAUCAUCCAUUCCUCUAAUUGUAGUCAAGAUACAGAUUUUUAAAUUUUUGUUGCAGACAUAGAAAUACAUUAUUUUUAGCAACUCUCAACUUGAAAAAAGCAGUUGCUAUUGCUCUGAGAAUACCACAGGAGAUACAAUACCCAACUGCAUGGUAUAUUUUUAAAAUUUAAAAUGACAGUGCUGGGUAUUUUCUGUUUCUCUCCUCUCCUGGGAAUUCUGCUCUAGAUAGCAUAGCUUGUAUAAGACCACAGAGAAGUCUUUUCAGAAUGUUCCACACUAUUCUGGGUAGGAUUGACUUUCUCUGCCCUGGUUUGGAGAAAAAUUAGAUUCAUCAUUAAUAAAUUAAAGGUAUACAUUGAUAAAAAAUAGAAAAAAAUUUCUAAAUUAAACUUCAGGAUGAAAUAGUGUCAUUAUUCUUAGAUAUGUUUGUAAUUUCAGUCAGUUAUCAUUUUUAUUUUAAUUAUUGUGAGUGUUCCUUUCGUCCUUGAUAAACUAUAGGCUCCUUGAGAUUGUCUUUUUAUAUUUAGAUAUUAGUGCUCCCCACACUUUCUCAUCAUAGUAUGCACUCAAUAAAUUCAACUUCAAUUUUUGAAUGAUUUAUUGAAUGAUUAAAGGAACCAGUGAGAUAAAUACAUAUACACUCUAAACCUCACAACAGACUGAAAGAAUAACAUAUGCAUGUGUGUGUAAUUGCACACUCCUGAAUCUAUAUACAUAGCUUUUUACAUGUAUAUAUAACAUAUUACAGUUACAUACACAAUCUGUUGCAGGUGGAUAUGAGUUAGAGGGCAAGAGGUCAUUGACAACUUCAUAUUGUCUGUUGGCACUAUACUGAGUUCCACUGAAAUCAGCCAGAAGGAUUGUACUCUUCUUGUGUCUGGUACAAUACCUUGUGUAGAAGAUAUGCUACAGCAAUGUUCGUCUAUUGAAUAAAUUACCAAAAAUAUGAUUGAUUGAAUGAAUGGGCAAGAGGAUUUUUUCCCUACCUGUUGUGGGAAGCUUCUUCUAAUUAUUAUCUUCAUGAAAGAGAAAGGUGUAUCUAGAGAGAACCACAUAGCUAAAAUCAUGAUGGGAUUUAAUUUUUGAGGUCACUGAUACAUCUUUUUCUAACAUGCCAUAAAUGAAUAAGGUUAUAAACAUAAUAGGAUAUGUGCUUAAGCUGACACAUUUUCUUCCUUUUGAGGGGUUAUUGUUUGAUUUAUUUUAUGCAUUUAAUGAGUAAAUAGAUAAAAAGUAAAUGUAAUAAUACUAUCCUAUCAUUACCACUUAUUGAGAUUUUGCCUCAUGCUUUACUCCAUAUCUAUGUCGUCUAUAUAUAUCUUCACAUGUACAUCUAUGUAGGGAUUAGGCUCGCCUAAUUGAGGAGAAACUCCAAUACUUAGAGAUCAAGAAAGGUGUCUUGGGACAUACAUUGCUGUAAUGACAGAGCAGCUUACUUCUACAUCAUUUGGGCAGAAUAUCCACUACAAUGAAAAUACAAGCUUAUUCCUUCACAAAAUCUACCUGUUUUUCCUCUUCCCUUUUUUGUCCCUGCUUCUGGGUGAGAUGUAAUAGGAAAUAAAUAGUUAUGAUCCAUUUUUUUGUAUUCUAUCCAGACACCUAGAAACCUCCAAAAUUAAAAAAACGAGGAAUCAAAACUGAAACUAUAGAACAGCUUAUUUUAUGUUACUGAACAAUCAGGGACAAGCUGAAGUGCAAGAACAUAAGGAAAUAUGCCACAUAAUGAAAUCAUAUGCAGGAUAGAAGAAUUCUGGAGGGACAAUAUUAGAAUGAUCAUAUUCAUCAUAAAAACUAUUUUAUGGUACCCUAUUAUUCUAGCCCCUGUGGCUGUCACUUUAUAUAAUUUUACUGUGUAAUAUUUAG